RNAcentral lists this long non-coding RNA (926 nucleotides) under Anas zonorhyncha (Eastern spot-billed duck). RNAcentral describes it as "lncRNA (ENSAZOG00000002742.1)". The record is from RNAcentral. Lineage: Eukaryota; Metazoa; Chordata; Aves; Anseriformes; Anatidae.
UGAAAGAACUGAAGACAGUGAGUGGCUCACAAGGGACCCAAAGAGACUUCAAGGCCCCAGGUAGGAAAGUGCUACAGAAAUACAAGGAUGUGGGGAAUAGCUGAGGCUGAACCUAAGAAUUAUGCUUCCAAAGUCUGAAGAUAGCAGCUAACUGAGAGAUCCUGAAACUGUUCUCCUUUUCAUAUAGGCUACUGAGUUAUUGGUAUUCCAGAGUAAAACCCAGGAGUGUUACGCUUUAUAGAUCUUCACUAAGCUCUGGAGUGCCACAGAUAAUAACUGUAAAAGCAAUAAUUAAUAAUUGCUAUUAAGAUAUCAUUUACAAAAGCCUGCAAAUAAGUUGCCAUAUGUCAGAGAAGGUCAGGCAGUAGCCCGGAGGCAGACAGUUGUAUCCCAAAGUCACUGAUGAGCCAGGUGAGAGCACCAGGUGCUGAAUAUUGCCAGUGACUGUGCACACCAGGAAACCUGGCCCCUUGCCCUUCUGCAGGGAAGUGUUAACAGAGCAAGUCAGAGCAGAAAAUGGUAGAGAGCAGGGAAACCAGUUCUUCAGGGUGUGUAAUGGGAUAUUUUGAAUUUUUAGUGAAAAAUGUUCACUUUUCUCAGCAUUGGAGAGCAACUCCCAGUGUGUUUUGUUCAUCGCUCAGCUGAGGAGUGGCAUCAGAAAGACCAAAAAGACUGGGAGACUGGACUUGAUUUCUCCUGGGCGGCCCACAGACCCCACUCUAUGCCCCUUCCAUGAGGCCUCCAAGUCUGCAGAUGUCCCUUUGUGUGGACAGCCAGACCAUGGCCCUGCCAGCAAUGCCGACUAUUGCACACACACUGGCUGCUUCCAAGAAACAUCUCAAGAUGUAGGAAGAUGGAGAAUCACGGCCUGCCAGUGCAAGCUGCAUGGAGUCACACAGUGCAUAGCUGCAGAAAGCAUGACCUGA